AUUGAACGCUGGCGGCAGGCCUAACACAUGCAAGUCGAACGGUAACAGGAAGCAGCUUGCUGCUUCGCUGACGAGUGGCGGACGGGUGAGUAAUGUCUGGGAAGCUGCCUGAUGGAGGGGGAUAACUACUGGAAACGGUAGCUAAUACCGCAUAAUGUCGCAAGACCAAAGAGGGGGACCUUCGGGCCUCUUGCCAUCGGAUGUGCCCAGAUGGGAUUAGCUCGUUGGUGGGGUAACGGCUCACCAAGGCGACGAUCCCUAGCUGGUCUGAGAGGAUGACCAGCCACACUGGAACUGAGACACGGUCCAGACUCCUACGGGAGGCAGCAGUGGGGAAUAUUGCACAAUGGGCGCAAGCCUGAUGCAGCCAUGCCGCGUGUAUGAAGAAGGCCUUCGGGUUGUAAAGUACUUUCAGCGGGGAGGAAGGGAGUAAAGUUAAUACCUUUGCUCAUUGACGUUACCCGCAGAAGAAGCACCGGCUAACUCCGUG
Molecule: ribosomal RNA, 490 nt
Filed under: uncultured bacterium
Lineage: Bacteria
Description: partial 16S ribosomal RNA
Rfam family: Bacterial small subunit ribosomal RNA
Source: RNAcentral